UACGGGGGGAGCAAGCGUUGUUCGGAUUUACUGGGCGUAAAGGGCGCGUAGGCGGUCGUGACAAGUCACUUGUGAAAUCUCCGGGCUUAACUCGGAACGGUCAAGUGAUACUGUCGGACUAGAGUACAGAAGGGGCAACUGGAAUUCUCGGUGUAGCGGUGAAAUGCGUAGAUAUCGAGAGGAACACCUGCGGCGAAGGCGGGUUGCUGGGCUGACACUGACGCUGAGGCGCGAAAGCUAGGGGAGCGAACGGGG
RNAcentral lists this ribosomal RNA (255 nucleotides) under uncultured bacterium. RNAcentral describes it as "partial 16S ribosomal RNA". It matches the Rfam family "Bacterial small subunit ribosomal RNA", at positions 524 to 777 of the family's 1533-position model. The record is from RNAcentral.